RNAcentral lists this ribosomal RNA (253 nucleotides) under uncultured bacterium. Its description in RNAcentral is "partial 16S ribosomal RNA". It matches the Rfam family "Bacterial small subunit ribosomal RNA", at positions 524 to 776 of the family's 1533-position model. The record is from RNAcentral.
UACGUAGGGAGCAAGCGUUGUCCGGAAUCAUUGGGCGUAAAGGGUGCGUAGGCGGCGCGGUAAGUCGGGUGUGAAAUCUCGGAGCUUAACUCCGAAACUGCAUUCGAUACUGCCGUGCUUGAGGACUGGAGAGGAGACUGGAAUUUACGGUGUAGCGGUGAAAUGCGUAGAUAUCGUAAGGAAGACCAGUGGCGAAGGCGGGUCUCUGGACAGUUCCUGACGCUGAGGCACGAAGGCCAGGGGAGCAAACGGG